UCCAUUCCGAACCAAGAAGUUAAGCCCAUCUUCGCCGAUGGUACUGCAAGGGAGGCCUUGUGGGAGAGUAGGUCGCCCCCGGUU
RNAcentral lists this ribosomal RNA (84 nucleotides) under Candidatus Opitulatrix roisinitermitis. Lineage: Bacteria; Bacillati; Actinomycetota; Actinomycetes; Bifidobacteriales; Bifidobacteriaceae. The record is from RNAcentral.